This 71-nucleotide transfer RNA is filed under the name Loxodonta africana (African savanna elephant). It matches the Rfam family "tRNA". From Rfam's summary of the family: Transfer RNA (tRNA) molecules are approximately 80 nucleotides in length. Their secondary structure includes four short double-helical elements and three loops (D, anti-codon, and T loops). Further hydrogen bonds mediate the characteristic L-shaped molecular structure. tRNAs have two regions of fundamental functional importance: the anti-codon, which is responsible for specific mRNA codon recognition, and the 3' end, to which the tRNAs corresponding amino acid is attached (by aminoacyl-tRNA synthetases). tRNAs cope with the degeneracy of the genetic code in two manners: having more than one tRNA (with a specific anti-codon) for a particular amino acid; and 'wobble' base-pairing, i.e. permitting non-standard base-pairing at the 3rd anti-codon position. Lineage: Eukaryota; Metazoa; Chordata; Mammalia; Proboscidea; Elephantidae. The record is from Rfam by way of RNAcentral.
GCAGUGGUGGUUCGGUGGUAGAAUUCUCUCCUUCUGUGCGGGGGACCCAGGUUUGAUUCCUGCCCAGUGUA